RNAcentral lists this ribosomal RNA (1457 nucleotides) under uncultured organism. RNAcentral's name for it is "16S ribosomal RNA". It matches the Rfam family "Bacterial small subunit ribosomal RNA". The record is from RNAcentral.
GCCUAACACAUGCAAGUCGAACGGUAACAGGAAGAAGCUUGCUUCUUUGCUGACGAGUGGCGGACGGGUGAGUAAUGUCUGGGAAACUGCCUGAUGGAGGGGGAUAACUACUGGAAACGGUAGCUAAUACCGCAUAACGUCGCAAGACCAAAGAGGGGGACCUUCGGGCCUCUUGCCAUCGGAUGUGCCCAGAUGGGAUUAGCUAGUAGGUGGGGUAACGGCUCACCUAGGCGACGAUCCCUAGCUGGUCUGAGAGGAUGACCAGCCACACUGGAACUGAGACACGGUCCAGACUCCUACGGGAGGCAGCAGUGGGGAAUAUUGCACAAUGGGCGCAAGCCUGAUGCAGCCAUGCCGCGUGUAUGAAGAAGGCCUUCGGGUUGUAAAGUACUUUCAGCGGGGAGGAAGGGAGUAAAGUUAAUACCUUUGCUCAUUGACGUUACCCGCAGAAGAAGCACCGGCUAACUCCGUGCCAGCAGCCGCGGUAAUACGGAGGGUGCAAGCGUUAAUCGGAAUUACUGGGCGUAAAGCGCACGCAGGCGGUUUGUUAAGUCAGAUGUGAAAUCCCCGGGCUCAACCUGGGAACUGCAUCUGAUACUGGCAAGCUUGAGUCUCGUAGAGGGGGGUAGAAUUCCAGGUGUAGCGGUGAAAUGCGUAGAGAUCUGGAGGAAUACCGGUGGCGAAGGCGGCCCCCUGGACGAAGACUGACGCUCAGGUGCGAAAGCGUGGGGAGCAAACAGGGUUAGAUACCCUGGUAGUCCACGCCGUAAACGAUGUCGACUUGGAGGUUGUGCCCUUGAGGCGUGGCUUCCGGAGCUAACGCGUUAAGUCGACCGCCUGGGGAGUACGGCCGCAAGGUUAAAACUCAAAUGAAUUGACGGGGGCCCGCACAAGCGGUGGAGCAUGUGGUUUAAUUCGAUGCAACGCGAAGAACCUUACCUGGUCUUGACAUCCACGGAAGUUUUCAGAGAUGAGAAUGUGCCUUCGGGAACCGUGAGACAGGUGCUGCAUGGCUGUCGUCAGCUCGUGUUGUGAAAUGUUGGGUUAAGUCCCGCAACGAGCGCAACCCUUAUCCUUUGUUGCCAGCGGUCCGGCCGGGAACUCAAAGGAGACUGCCAGUGAUAAACUGGAGGAAGGUGGGGAUGACGUCAAGUCAUCAUGGCCCUUACGACCAGGGCUACACACGUGCUACAAUGGCGCAUACAAAGAGAAGCGACCUCGCGAGAGCAAGCGGACCUCAUAAAGUGCGUCGUAGUCCGGAUUGGAGUCUGCAACUCGACUCCAUGAAGUCGGAAUCGCUAGUAAUCGUGGAUCAGAAUGCCACGGUGAAUACGUUCCCGGGCCUUGUACACACCGCCCGUCACACCAUGGGAGUGGGUUGCAAAAGAAGUAGGUAGCUUAACCUUCGGGAGGGCGCUUACCACUUUGUGAUUCAUGACUGGGGUGAAGUCAUAACA